CCUACGGGGGGCAGCAGUGAGGAAUAUUGGUCAAUGGACGAGAGUCUGAACCAGCCAAGUAGCGUGAAGGAUGACUGCCCUAUGGGUUGUAAACUUCUUUUAUAUGGGAAUAAAAUGUUCCACGUGUGGGAUUUUGUAUGUACCAUAUGAAUAAGGAUCGGCUAACUCCGUGCCAGCAGCCGCGGUAAUACGGAGGAUCCGAGCGUUAUCCGGAUUUAUUGGGUUUAAAGGGAGCGUAGGUGGAUUGUUAAGUCAGUUGUGAAAGUUUGCGGCUCAACCGUAAAAUUGCAGUUGAAACUGGCAGUCUUGAGUACAGUAGAUGUGGGCGGAAUUCGUGGUGUAGCGGUGAAAUGCUUAGAUAUCACGAAGAACUCCGAUUGCGAAGGCAGUUCACUGGACUGCAACUGACACUGAGGCUCGAAAGUGUGGGUAUCAAACAGGAUUAGAUACCCUUGUAGUC
Molecule: ribosomal RNA, 460 nt
Filed under: uncultured bacterium
Lineage: Bacteria
Description: partial 16S ribosomal RNA
Rfam family: Bacterial small subunit ribosomal RNA
Source: RNAcentral